Molecule: long non-coding RNA, 1892 nt
Organism: Rana temporaria (common frog)
Lineage: Eukaryota; Metazoa; Chordata; Amphibia; Anura; Ranidae
Exons: 8
Source: RefSeq, a predicted model, not a curated record
GCCAUUUAAUUCUUUAGAUCUCUAGCAUGCCAGGGGGCCUAUGUUUCCCCUUCACCAUUCCACAUGCAGCCACUAAUCUGCCUCCCAUGGGAGGACUAAAUAAUGUACAAGGGGUCAUAUCACCCUUUACAACAAGGACUGAGGACCUCUACAGAGCCCAGAAGGGCAUAGUAGGGGACGAGGGGAGAAGCUGGCUUAUUCCUACAAAAAGUAUAGAUGCCCCAAGCAUGUCUGAAUCCAUUCACUGUUGACGGACUCACUACCUCCGUCUAUUCCAAGCAUCAACUACUCUUUAGCACUCCUCCAUAAACGCUGUCAGAUCUUCAACCUUUUCUAAUUGUGCUUCAUCCGUCUUUACCUUUCGCUUUGGUGUGCACAUUUUGCAUGUCAUGUAAAAAGGUAACAAAAUCUAUUACAACUUUUAUUGUGGGGGAAAAUGAUAACAUCAGAAAGAACAGACAAGGAAAGUCCUUCUUUCUUCAAUCCUCUUCUAAUACAUCAGUUUGUCCAAUAAUUGGUUGUCUGUCAUAUGGUUGAACCAGGAUUACAAAAGAAUACAAAAUCGUAAUAAUGAGACAGCAUCCAAGUCAUACAGUAUCAGAAUAGAGGUAGAGCAACUGAACUGUAUGCAGUUAUUACAACAACAAUGAUAGUACAACAACAAUGAUAGGUAUCAUCAUAGGGGUUCUUAUUGUUAUUUCACAUGCCUUUAGUUCUGCCUUUCUCAUUUACCUGCAGAACAAACUGCCAUGUAAAAGUGCCAUGCUGGAACAAACAAUAACACUGCCAGGGGUACUUGAGUAGUUGUAUCUUCAGUUCAUUUUAAAGAAGAUUCAAACCAAGACGUCAUCCCCUCAAAGUAAGCCACACAUUGCUGGUCAGUGGCUUAUUUCCCAAGAGUAGUUAUUAAAUUAAUGCAGAUCACUGCCAGUCUCUGCUCUUCCUUUGACGUAUUUCACUCAGCCUCUAUGACUAAUCCCAUACUUUGGGUGAGAAAACCCUGUUAAGCAAUGUUGAUUGUCUAUAGUAAUGUCAUCACUAGACACAGGAGUCGGCAGCUGCCAAAGUGUUGACACCCACGGUAAGAUGAUGCAGAACAGAACCCAUAGGGAAGGUCUGGAAGGUAGCGGUGUUGAGGUAAAAAAUCAAGGUCACGCACUGAUAAGGAAUAGGAUGCACUGAUAAGGAAUAGGAUGCAGGUGAGAGAGGUGAGAGAGACAUUGAGAGAGACAUUGUCUGGAGCCAGGGUGGCAUCAUACACAGGAGAGUAGUAUAGUUGGAGAGGUCAGGAGCCAAGCAAGGGUCAUACAUGGUACUGUAGAUCAAUGGAAACAAGGAAACUAAGUUCUUCAGGAGUCAGGCAAAGGGACGUUCAGGGGAAGGCCAAGUCAAUAGCAAGUAGUCAGAGUAAACAUACUGUAGGAUCGGGAUACACAGAAACAAGAAUAACAGACUAGCUGAAGAUCAUCCAGCAAUUACCUGUCACUACUCUUUCCCUUACAUUGGGCAUUUGGUGCCAGUUCUGGAUUCGGAUGUGAGCGCAUUUCUGCACAAAAACUAGCGUGUCGGCACUGGGUGCUGGAGGAAGUUCCCAACCUGUGUCUUGGCCAUGCACACCUUUAUUCCAGAUAGCAUACUGGCAGUAUAGAUGUGUACAUGUGCUGUUAUAAAGUGCUUUUCAGCAAAUAUGUGUUCUUUUUAUUUUUAACUAUUUUUAAUAAAAGUUAUAAUACAAGUGGUGAUAUGCUAUUAAGUCUCUCUUGCCCUGUUUACAUUUGAAAAUGUUGAUAAUUUUUGGAGCAUGGAUGAAAGAACAGUUGUACUUCAUUAAUGUGCCAUUAUUGAAGAACAUACACCGAUCAGCCAUAACAUUAAAGAAUAUGUUACCCCAA